RNAcentral lists this ribosomal RNA (543 nucleotides) under uncultured archaeon. RNAcentral describes it as "bacterial SSU rRNA". It matches the Rfam family "Bacterial small subunit ribosomal RNA", at positions 509 to 1050 of the family's 1533-position model. The record is from RNAcentral.
CAGCAGCCGCGGUAACACGUAGGGGGCAAGCGUUGUCCGGAAUUACUGGGCGUAAAGAGCGCGUAGGUGGUUUAGUAAGUCAGGUGUGAAAGGCCAGGGCUCAACCCUGGGACUGCACUUGAAACUGCUUGACUUGAGGGCAGGAGAGGUAAGUGGAAUUCCCAGUGUAGCGGUGAAAUGCGUAGAUAUUGGGAGGAACACCAGUGGCGAAAGCGACUUACUGGCCUGGCCCUGACACUGAGGCGCGAAAGCGUGGGGAGCGAACAGGAUUAGAUACCCUGGUAGUCCACGCCGUAAACGAUGGGUACUAGGUGUAGGAGGUAUCGACCCCUUCUGUGCCGCAGCAAACGCAUUAAGUACCCCGCCUGGGGAGUACGGCCGCAAGGUUGAAACUCAAAGGAAUUGACGGGGGCCCGCACAAGCGGUGGAGUAUGUGGUUUAAUUCGACGCUACGCGAAGAACCUUACCGGGGCUUGACAUCCCGUGCUAUCUGUUGAAAGACAGAGUUCCCUUUUGGGACGCGGAGACAGGAGGUGCAUGGCC